UACGUAGGUCCCGAGCGUUGUCCGGAUUUAUUGGGCGUAAAGCGAGCGCAGGUGGUUUAAUAAGUCUGAUGUAAAAGGCAGUGGCUCAACCAUUGUAUGCAUUGGAAACUGGUAGACUUGAGUGCAGGAGAGGAGAGUGGAAUUCCAUGUGUAGCGGUGAAAUGCGUAGAUAUAUGGAGGAACACCGGUGGCGAAAGCGGCUCUCUGGCCUGUAACUGACACUGAGGCUCGAGAGCGUGGGGAGCAAACAGG
Molecule: ribosomal RNA, 252 nt
Filed under: uncultured microorganism
Description: partial 16S ribosomal RNA
Rfam family: Bacterial small subunit ribosomal RNA
Source: RNAcentral